RNAcentral lists this ribosomal RNA (253 nucleotides) under uncultured bacterium. Its description in RNAcentral is "partial 16S ribosomal RNA". It matches the Rfam family "Bacterial small subunit ribosomal RNA", at positions 524 to 776 of the family's 1533-position model. The record is from RNAcentral.
UACGUAGGGGGCAAGCGUUGUCCGGAUUUAUUGGGCGUAAAGAGCGUGUAGGCGGCCUGAAAGGUCAGCUGUGAAAACUCGAGGCUCAACCUCGAAACGUCGGUUGAAACCAUCUGGCUAGAGUCCGGAAGAGGAGAGUGGAAUUCCCGGUGUAGCGGUGAAAUGCGCAGAUAUCGGGAAGAACACCCGUGGCGAAGGCGGCUCUCUGGGACGGUACUGACGCUGAGACGCGAAAGCGUGGGGAGCGAACAGG